AACGAUGGAUAUCUUGGUUCCCAUAACGAUGAAGAACGCAGCGAAGUGCGAUAAGCAAUGCGAAUUGCAGAACCGUGAGUCAUCAGAUCUUUGAACGCAACUGGCGCC
Molecule: ribosomal RNA, 108 nt
Filed under: Arcuseries warreni
Lineage: Eukaryota; Ciliophora; Spirotrichea; Urostylida; Urostylidae
Description: 5.8S ribosomal RNA
Rfam family: 5.8S ribosomal RNA
About the family: 5.8S ribosomal RNA (5.8S rRNA) is a component of the large subunit of the eukaryotic ribosome.
Source: RNAcentral